RNAcentral lists this ribosomal RNA (497 nucleotides) under uncultured bacterium. RNAcentral's name for it is "partial 16S ribosomal RNA". It matches the Rfam family "Bacterial small subunit ribosomal RNA", at positions 28 to 507 of the family's 1533-position model. The record is from RNAcentral.
GAUGAACGCUGGCGGCGUGCCUAAUACAUGCAAGUCGAGCGAACGGACGAGAAGCUUGCUUCUCUGAUGUUAGCGGCGGACGGGUGAGUAACACGUGGAUAACCUACCUAUAAGACUGGGAUAACUUCGGGAAGCCGGAGCUAAUACCGGAUGAUAUUUUGAACCGCAUGGUUCAAAAGUGAAAGACGGUCUUGCUGUCACUUAUAGAUGGAUCCGCGCUGCAUUAGCUAGUUGGUAAGGUAACGGCUUACCAAGGCAACGAUGCAUAGCCGACCUGAGAGGGUGAUCGGCCACACUGGAACUGAGACAAGGUCCAGACUCCUACGGGAGGCAGCAGUAGGGAAUCUUCCGCAAUGGGCGAAAGCCUGACGGAGCAACGCCGCGUGAGUGAUGAAGGUCUUCGGAUCGUAAAACUCUGUUAUUAGGGAAGAACAUAUGUGUAAGUAACUGUGCACAUCUUGACGGUACCUAAUCAGAAAGCCACGGCUAACUACGUG